Mirounga angustirostris (Northern elephant seal) is the source of this 106-nucleotide small nuclear RNA. Lineage: Eukaryota; Metazoa; Chordata; Mammalia; Carnivora; Phocidae. The record is from RefSeq and is a predicted model, not a curated record.
GUGCUCAAUUCGGCAGCACAUAUGCUAAAAUUAGAACAAUACAGAGAAGAUCGCAUGGCUUCUGCACAAGAAUGACAUGCAAAUUUGUAAAGCGUUUCAUAGUUUA